RNAcentral lists this ribosomal RNA (342 nucleotides) under uncultured Desulfobulbus sp. RNAcentral's name for it is "bacterial SSU rRNA". It matches the Rfam family "Bacterial small subunit ribosomal RNA", at positions 1041 to 1382 of the family's 1533-position model. The record is from RNAcentral. Lineage: Bacteria; Pseudomonadati; Thermodesulfobacteriota; Desulfobulbia; Desulfobulbales; Desulfobulbaceae.
CUGCAUGGCUGUCGUCAGCUCGUGUCGUGAGAUGUUGGGUUAAGUCCCGCAACGAGCGCAACCCUGCCUUUAGUUGCCAGCAGUUCGGCUGGGCACUCUAAAGGGACUGCCGGUGUUAAACCGGAGGAAGGUGGGGAGUGACGUCAAGUCCUCAUGGCCUUUAUGACCAGGGCUACACACGUACUACAAUGGCCGAUACAAAGGGCAGCGACACUGCGAGGUGAAGCCAAUCCCGUAAAAUCGGUCUCAGUCCGGAUUGGAGUCUGCAACUCGACUCCAUGAAGCUGGAAUCGCUAGUAAUCGUGGAUCAGCCAAGCCGCGGUGAAUACGUUCCCGGGCCUU